This 87-nucleotide unclassified non-coding RNA is filed under the name Pseudomonas azotoformans. Lineage: Bacteria; Pseudomonadati; Pseudomonadota; Gammaproteobacteria; Pseudomonadales; Pseudomonadaceae. The record is from RNAcentral.
GUGGGAGGGGGCUUGCCCCCGAUAGCGGAGUGUCAGCCACAGUUGUAUUAGCUGAUGCACUGCAAUCGGGGGCAAGCCCCCUCCCAC